RNAcentral lists this ribosomal RNA (743 nucleotides) under Aspergillus niger. Its description in RNAcentral is "SSU rRNA". It matches the Rfam family "Eukaryotic small subunit ribosomal RNA", at positions 780 to 1564 of the family's 1831-position model. The record is from RNAcentral. Lineage: Eukaryota; Fungi; Ascomycota; Eurotiomycetes; Eurotiales; Aspergillaceae.
GCCGGGGGGUAAGUUUUGUUAUAUCUAGGCACCGCCGUAAUGAUUAAUAGGCAGGACCGCCGUAAUGUUUAAUAGGGAAAGUCGGGGGCGUCAGUAUUGAGCUGUCAGAGGUGAAAUUCUAGGAUUUGCUGAAGACUAACUACUGCGAAAGCAUUCGCCAAGGAUGUUUUCAUUAAUCAGGGAACGAAAGUUAGGGGAUCGAAGACGAUCAGAUACCGUCGUAGUCUUUACCAUAAACUAUGCCGACUAGGGAUCGGACGGUGUUUCUAUUAUGACCCGUUCGGCACCUUACGAGAAAUCAAAGUUUUUGGGUUCUGGGGGCAGUAUGGUCGCAAGGGUGAAACUUAAAGAAUUUGACGGAAGGCCACCACCAGGCGUGGAGCCUGCGGCUUAAUUAGACUCAACACGGGGAAACUCACGAGGUCCAGACUAAAUAAGGAUUGACAGAUUGAGAGCUCAUUCUUGAUCUUUAGGAUGGUGGUGCAUGGCGGUUCUUAGUUGGUGGAGUGAUUAGUCUGCUUAAUUGCGAUAACGAACGAGACCUCGGGCCUUAAAUAGCCCGGUCCGCAUUUGCGGGCCGCUGGCUUCUUACGGGGACUAUCGGCUCAAGCCGAUGGAAGUGCGCGGCAUUAACAGGUCUGUGAUGCCCUUAGAUGUUCUGGGCCGCACGCGCGCUACACUGACAGGGCCAGCGAGUACAUCACCUUGGCCGAGAGGUCUUGUUAAUACUUUUUUAAAACCGG